RNAcentral lists this transfer RNA (62 nucleotides) under Echinogammarus berilloni. RNAcentral's name for it is "tRNA-Leu". The record is from RNAcentral. Lineage: Eukaryota; Metazoa; Arthropoda; Malacostraca; Amphipoda; Gammaridae.
UAUCAAUGUGGCAGAUUAGUGCAAUAGCUUUAAAGACUAUGCAAGGCUAAGUCCCUUUGAUA